GUCCCUUCGGGGACAUCCGAUAAAAUUGGAACGAUACAGAGAAGAUGACACGCAAAAAUCGAGAAAUAUUAAGGUUCAAU
RNAcentral lists this small nuclear RNA (80 nucleotides) under Marchantia polymorpha subsp. ruderalis. Lineage: Eukaryota; Viridiplantae; Streptophyta; Marchantiopsida; Marchantiales; Marchantiaceae. The record is from RNAcentral.